RNAcentral lists this ribosomal RNA (253 nucleotides) under uncultured bacterium. RNAcentral's name for it is "partial 16S ribosomal RNA". It matches the Rfam family "Bacterial small subunit ribosomal RNA", at positions 524 to 776 of the family's 1533-position model. The record is from RNAcentral.
GACGAAGGGGGCAAGCGUUGUUCGGAAUUACUGGGCGUAAAGGGCGCGUAGGCGGUUCUUUAAGUCAGGCGUGAAAGCCCUGGGCUCAACCUGGGAGUGGCGCUUGAUACUGGAGGACUAGAGAGUGGGAGAGGUUGGUGGAAUUCCCAGUGUAGAGGUGAAAUUCGUAGAUAUUGGGAAGAACACCGGUGGCGAAGGCGGCCUUCUGGACAGUGACUGACGCUGAGACGCGAAAGCGUGGGGAGCAAACAGG